RNAcentral lists this ribosomal RNA (178 nucleotides) under uncultured bacterium. RNAcentral's name for it is "partial 16S ribosomal RNA". It matches the Rfam family "Bacterial small subunit ribosomal RNA", at positions 570 to 744 of the family's 1533-position model. The record is from RNAcentral.
ACGUAGGCGGAUUAGUAAGUUAGGGGUGAAAUCCCAGAGGCUCAACCCUCGGAACUGCCUCUAAAACUGCUAGUCUAGAGAUCGAGAGAGGUGAGUGGAAUUCCAAGUGUAGAGGUGAAAUUCGUAGAUAUUUGGAGGAACACCAGUGGCGAAGGCGGCUCACUGGCUCGAUACUGAC